This is a long non-coding RNA of Gasterosteus aculeatus aculeatus (three-spined stickleback), 1006 nucleotides long. The record is from Ensembl. Lineage: Eukaryota; Metazoa; Chordata; Actinopteri; Perciformes; Gasterosteidae.
CCGUUAUAAACACGCCGUCUGGUGUCCAGGAAGUGGAGGAGAGUUUGUACACCGAGUGUCAGACGUGGCUGAUAAACAGAAGAAAGCCAUACUGUCCUUCGGUAAACAAAGGCUGCUAAACAAAUAGCAGAGUGCGUUAUUGUUACUCACAUUCGUGCUUCACACAUACACACGCAGUUUGAAAAGGCAGGAGCAGUAUUUAUUAGCAUGCCAAAUUAAAAGAUGGCACAAAGGAACAUAAAUGACUCUGCGCUCCAAUAGCUUAAUUGCUAAUCUCUUCUUUUAGGACGGUGUUUAUUUCAUUAGUCUCGUUUUAGCGCCGUCGCCAUCUCUCCCUGCUAAUUAACUUGUUUGGAUUGAACGUCUACCCCUCCGUGCCAGACAGCACGAACACCGCUGCAGGGAAAGUAAAGUGUAACAUUACUUCUUUUUCUCCAUGGACGUUCCUAUCCAGAACUUAUCUCCAUGUCUCUCAUCUCUCUGGACUACGCCAUCCGGUUCCCCGGAUCCGAUGAGACGCCAGAAGAAAGCCAGAAGAAAGCCAGUAGAAGGCCAGAAUGCGGUCAGUAGAAGGCCAAGAGAAGACAGGCCAGAAGAAGGCCAGUAGAAGGCCAGAAUGCGGUCAGUAGAAGGCCAGUAGAAGGCCAGGAGAAGGCGAGUAGAAGGUCGAUAGAAGGCCAGUAGAAGGCCAGUCGAAGGCCAGUAGAAGGCCAGUAGGUUGCCAGUCGAAGGCCAGUAGAAGGCCAGGAGGUUGCCAGUAGAAAGCCAGUAGGUGGCCAGUAGAAGGCCAGGAGAAGGCCAGUAGAAGGCCAGUAGGUUGCCAGUCGAAGGCCAGUAGAAGGCCAGUAGGUUGUGUAGGAUAUUAGAAACAAAUUGACGACCCGGUUCAUAAAAUUAAUAAAAAUGCAUAUAGUGUACACCAGAAUACAGCCAUGAUUCUGAAACUGUGUAAUCCAUAAAGUAAUGACAAUAUUGUAAAACCAAUGUAAAUCUGCAACUGUAAUAG